This 253-nucleotide ribosomal RNA is filed under the name uncultured bacterium. Its description in RNAcentral is "partial 16S ribosomal RNA". It matches the Rfam family "Bacterial small subunit ribosomal RNA", at positions 524 to 776 of the family's 1533-position model. The record is from RNAcentral.
UACGUAGGGGGCAAGCGUUGUCCGGAAUUAUUGGGCGUAAAGAGCUCGUAGGCGGUUUGUUGCGUCGGCUGUGAAAUCCCGAGGCUCAACCUCGGGUCUGCAGUCGAUACGAGCAAACUAGAGUGUUGCAGGGGAGACUGGAAUUCCUGGUGUAGCGGUGAAAUGCGCAGAUAUCAGGAGGAACACCGGUGGCGAAGGCGGGUCUCUGGGCAACAACUGACGCUGAGGAGCGAAAGCAUGGGGAGCGAACAGG